UAGAAUGGGGUGUGAUAGGUAGCACGGAGGAAUUUGAAUUCUCAGGGGUAGGUUCGACACCUAUAAUUCUAG
Non-coding RNA from Rhinopithecus bieti (black snub-nosed monkey), 72 nucleotides. NCBI's taxonomy places the organism in Eukaryota, Metazoa, Chordata, Mammalia, Primates, Cercopithecidae. The record is from Ensembl.